This is a long non-coding RNA of Ictalurus punctatus (channel catfish), 1042 nucleotides long. The record is from Ensembl. NCBI's taxonomy places the organism in Eukaryota, Metazoa, Chordata, Actinopteri, Siluriformes, Ictaluridae.
CCCGCCUACUACAGUCUAAAGAUGAGACUGUAUCAGAAAUUCAGAAUUGAUGCAGAUGAGCUAUUAUAGUUCCGCGUAGCUGUUAUUUUAAACAAUGUUUAACAGUGUUUAUGUGAAAAUGUAAUUGCGUAGCUUAACGCAGUUUGAAGCAAGGAUACUAAGAGGACGUGGACAUGUGUUUAUUACUAGUUAAUUAAUUGUUAGUUAAUGUUCGCUGUUUAAAUUCAUUUAAAUUGUCGCACUUUCACACAUCCCAAUGGAUCAAAUCACCUCCAGUGCAUCCUUUAUUACUAUUAUUAUUAGGAUUGUUUGAAAUAAAUCGACUCACCAUAUUGAAGUUUUACGGCAGGUUUAUUUACAGUGUAAAUAAAUCCACAUAUAAUUGACAUCUAUCAGAUUUGGAACAGAAAUAAAAUCACAUCUCUAUCGCUUGCUCAGAUCAUACCGUCAAAGAAUGCCGAACGGAUUUUGUUUUCUAUAAACUACGAUUUGUGCACCGGUGCGUGGCUAAUCCAAGUCAUUCCUAUUUCAUGCCCUUGUAGUGAGCAGGCGUCAGUACGGCCACGUCACACAGGAAUGGAACGUGUGGUACGUCAGUGUGUGGUACGUCAGUGUGUGGUACGUCAGUGUGCAGCGUGGUGUAUUUACAUUAACCUACUCAGCUACAGUCAGGGUUAAAGCGUCUCACUGACAGCUGAAGCAGUCUGUCCUGAAGGAUCGGCGCGGUGCGACUCGCUGUGUGUCCAGUCCUAACACUAACUACGCUCCAUGUUCACUGUGAAGAGUGAAGAGAAGAAACCCAGAAGAGCUUCGGCACUGUUAUCUCUCACACACACACACACACACAAACACACACACAGUACUGUUUUGCUUUAACCCUGGGAAAGCGGUGGGGGGGGGGGGGGGGGGGGGCUGCAGUGUGGGAGAGGCCCGCUCUUCUCCAGCUGCUUCGCCGUGUGUGUGUGUGUGUGUGUGUGUGUGUGUGUGUCAGCAGCAUGUCUAGUCCAUGAGUGUCCUGUCUUCAGGACCCUUCGUUAGGCUG